RNAcentral lists this unclassified non-coding RNA (348 nucleotides) under soil metagenome. Its description in RNAcentral is "partial contains 5.8S ribosomal RNA, internal transcribed spacer 2, and large subunit ribosomal RNA". The stretch from base 1 to 120 matches the Rfam family "5.8S ribosomal RNA", at positions 35 to 154 of the family's 154-position model. The record is from RNAcentral.
GAUGAAGAACGCAGCAAAAUGCGAUAAGUAAUGUGAAUUGCAGAAUUCAGUGAAUCAUCGAAUCUUUGAACGCACAUUGCGCCCGCUGGUAUUCCGGCGGGCAUGCCUGUUCGAGCGUCAUUUCAACCCUCAAGCCCCCGGGUUUGGUGUUGGGGAUCGGCUCUGCCCUUCUGGGCGGUGCCGCCCCCGAAAUACAUUGGCGGUCUCGCCGCAGCCUCCAUUGCGUAGUAGCUAACACCUCGCAACUGGAACGCGGCGCGGCCAUGCCGUAAAACCCCAACUUCUGAAUGUUGACCUCGGAUCAGGUAGGAAUACCCGCUGAACUUAAGCAUAUCAAUAAGCGGAGGA